AAAUUUACCUGGCAAGGGAGAUACUGUGAUCACGAAGGUGGUUUUCCCAGGGCGAGGCUUAUCCAUUGCAUUUUGGAUGUGCUGACACCUGCAAUUUUCCCAAAUAUGGUAAACUCAGCUGCAUAAUUUGUGGUAGUGGGGGACUGCGUUUGCACUUUCCCUGG
This is a small nuclear RNA of Hippopotamus amphibius kiboko, 164 nucleotides long. RefSeq annotates it as U1 spliceosomal RNA. The transcript has a single exon. The record is from RefSeq and is a predicted model, not a curated record. NCBI's taxonomy places the organism in Eukaryota, Metazoa, Chordata, Mammalia, Artiodactyla, Hippopotamidae.